UGGGGGAUAUUGCACAAUGGGCGAAAGCCUGAUGCAGCGACGCCGCGUGGGGGAUGAAGGCCUUCGGGUUGUAAACUUCUUUUGCUCUGAACAAGGCGCACUUUGGGGUGUGUUGAGUGUAGGGGUUGAUUAGCGCCGGCUAACUACGUGCCAGCAGCCGCGGUAAUACGUAGGGCGCGAGCGUUGUCCGGAAUUAUUGGGCGUAAAGGGCUUGUAGGUGGCUGGUUGCGUCUGUCGUGAAAGCUCAUGGCUUAACUGUGGGUUUGCGGUGGGUACGGGCUGGCUUGAGUGCAGUAGGGGAGGCUGGAAUUCCUGGUGUAGCGGUGGAAUGCGCAGAUAUCAGGAGGAAUACCGGUGGCGAAGGCGGGUCUCUGGGCUGUUACUGACGCUGAGGAGCGAAAGCGUGGGGAGCGAACAGG
This 419-nucleotide ribosomal RNA is filed under the name Fusobacteriota bacterium. RNAcentral describes it as "Fusobacteria bacterium partial 16S ribosomal RNA". It matches the Rfam family "Bacterial small subunit ribosomal RNA", at positions 355 to 776 of the family's 1533-position model. Lineage: Bacteria; Fusobacteriati; Fusobacteriota. The record is from RNAcentral.